RNAcentral lists this ribosomal RNA (417 nucleotides) under uncultured prokaryote. Its description in RNAcentral is "bacterial SSU rRNA". It matches the Rfam family "Bacterial small subunit ribosomal RNA", at positions 355 to 789 of the family's 1533-position model. The record is from RNAcentral.
UGGGGAAUAUUGGACAAUGGGGGCAACCCUGAUCCAGCCAUGCCGCGUGCGUGAAGAAGGCCUUAGGGUUGUAAAGCGCUUUCACUGGUGAAGAUGAUGACGGUAGCCAGAGGAGAAGCCCCGGCUAACUCCGUGCCAGCAGCCGCGGUAAUACGGAGGGGGCAAGCGUUGUUCGGAAUUACUGGGCGUAAAGCGCGCGUAGGCGGCUUAGUAAGUCGGAUGUGAAAGCCCCGGGCUUAACCUGGGAAUUGCAUUCGAUACUGCUGAGCUAGAGUAUGGUAGAGGGAAGUGGAAUUUCCGGUGUAGCGGUGAAAUGCAUAGAUAUCGGAAGGAACACCAGUGGCGAAGGCGACUUCCUGGGCCAAUACUGACGCUGAGGUGCGAAAGCGUGGGGAGCAAACAGGAUUAGAUACCCGG